AACUUUCAGCAACGGAUCUCUUGGCUCUCCCAUCGAUGAAGAACGCAGCGAAAUGCGAUAAGUAAUGUGAAUUGCAGAAUUCAGUGAAUCAUCGAAUCUUUGAACGCACCUUGCGCCCUUUGGUAUUCCGAAGGGCAUGCCUGUUUGAGUGUCA
Molecule: ribosomal RNA, 154 nt
Filed under: uncultured fungus
Lineage: Eukaryota; Fungi
Description: partial 5.8S ribosomal RNA
Rfam family: 5.8S ribosomal RNA
About the family: 5.8S ribosomal RNA (5.8S rRNA) is a component of the large subunit of the eukaryotic ribosome. It is transcribed by RNA polymerase I as part of the 45S precursor that also contains 18S and 28S rRNA. Functionally, it is thought that 5.8S rRNA may be involved in ribosome translocation.
Source: RNAcentral